UUGUCUACCUCCUUGUACCCACCUGAGUCGAGCUCUGUCAGUGCGUGAUUCUUGCCAAUCGCUAAACGUAGGACUCGAGGAAGGCCAUUGGCACUUCUGCUGAGAAGACAGUGCAAGUGCCUAUAAAAACGACAGUUUAGGGGGGAAACAAACCAAUACCCGGAAAACUGAGAGACCAGCUUUUUAAUCGUCAUGGUUUUAUGUAAAAUAAAACAGCACGUGGAAGGUAUUGUAAGCGCUUGGUGGCUGCUCGAGCCCCCAGGAAGGUGCUUGGUUCUUCCACUUCUGCCACUAAUUCGACACCAGUUUCAUCGAGGAAAGCUGAAAAUAAAUAUGCAGGAGGGAAUCCCGUUUGCGUGCGCCCAACUCCCAAGUGGCAAAAAGGAAUUGGAGAAUUCUUUAGGUUGUCCUCUAAAGAUUCUGAAAAAGAGAAUCAGAUUCCUGAAGAGGCAGGAAGCAGUGGCUUAGGAAAAGCAAAGAGAAAAGCAUGUCCUUUGCAGCCUGAUCACACAAAUGAUGAAAAAGAAUAGAACUUUCUCAUUCAUCUUUAAAUAACGUCUCCUUGUUUACCCUGGUAUUCUAGAAUGUAAAUUUACAUAAAUGUGUUUAUUCCAAUUAGCUUUGUUGAACAGGCGUUUAAUUAAGAAAUUUAGGUUUAAAUUUAGAUGUUCAAAAGUAGUUGUGAAAUUUGAGAAUUUUUAAGACUAAUUAUGGUAACUUAGCUUAGUAUUCAGUAUAAUGCAUUGUUUGGUUUCUUUUACCAAAUUAAGUGUCUUGUUCUUGCUAAAAUCUAGUCACUGCAUUGUGUUCUAAUUACAAGUAUGCUGUAUUUGAGAUUUGCUUAAAUUGUUGUACUGCUGCCAUUUUUAUUGGUGUUUGAUUCUUGGAAUGGUGCCAUAUUGUCACUCCUUCUAUUUGCUUUAAAAAGCAGAGUUAGACUUUUGCACAUUAAAAAAAAAUCAGUAUUAAUUAAACCUUA
Piliocolobus tephrosceles (Ugandan red Colobus) is the source of this 979-nucleotide RNA transcript. It is a transcript of the gene named PCNA clamp associated factor, with no coding region annotated. The transcript is spliced from 4 exons. The record is from RefSeq and is a predicted model, not a curated record. Lineage: Eukaryota; Metazoa; Chordata; Mammalia; Primates; Cercopithecidae.